Molecule: ribosomal RNA, 473 nt
Filed under: uncultured bacterium
Lineage: Bacteria
Description: partial 16S ribosomal RNA
Rfam family: Bacterial small subunit ribosomal RNA
Source: RNAcentral
GGUGAACGCUGGCGGCGUGCCUAAGACAUGCAAGUCGAGCGGGCCGCGGGGUUUUACUCCGUGGUCAGCGGCGGACGGGUGAGUAACGCGUGGGUGACCUACCCGGAAGAGGGGGACAACCCGGGGAAACUCGGGCUAAUCCCCCAUGUGGACCCGCCCCUUGGGGUGUGUCCAAAGGGCUUUGCCCGCUUCCGGAUGGGCCCGCGUCCCAUCAGCUAGUUGGUGGGGUAAUGGUCCACCAAGGCGACGCCGGGUAGCCGGCCUGAGAGGGUGGCAGGCCAAAGGGGCACUGAGACACGGGCGCCACUCCUGCGGGAGGCAGCAGGUAGUAAGCUCCCGCAAUGGGCGCAAGCCUGACGGAGCGACGCCGCUUGGAGGAAGAAGCCCUUCGGGGUGUAAACUACUGAACCCUGGACGAAACCCCCGACGAGGGGACGGACGGUACCGGGGUAAUAGCGCCGGCCAACUCCGUG